AUCUCAGCGGCAGCCUAGGCAGAUGGGUUACCUGAGGUCACAUCCACCUAUUGCCCUCCACCAAUGGGCCAGGACCAGGAAGGAAGGAGAAGGAACUGGAGUGGAGACAUACCAAAGAGGUUCUUAGUUGUAGGGGUCAAGAAAGAAGAGGCCGUGGGCUCAGGCACAGAGCAGGUGGCAUGGAGAGCAUAUGGAGACCCUCACAGAUGACAGCCAGGAGUCCCUUGGCCUUUGGAAGGGAGCAGGUGCCUCCUCCUGUUCAAAGUUUGGCUCCUGGAGUUUUCCCGUGAUGUAUAAUUCUCUUCCCUGAAGGUUCAAGUGCUUCUUCUAAAAGCUAUGGCACCUGUGUGGUUCAGUGGUUGAGCGUCUGCCUUUGGCUCAGGGGGUGAUCCUGGAG
Long non-coding RNA from Canis lupus familiaris (dog), 397 nucleotides. RefSeq lists it as uncharacterized. The record is from RefSeq and is a predicted model, not a curated record. The transcript has 3 exons. NCBI's taxonomy places the organism in Eukaryota, Metazoa, Chordata, Mammalia, Carnivora, Canidae.